ACAAGUCGACAAUUUCAUGUUUUUGAGCCGCUUCAUCCGUUAUGGUGCUCGAAAAGACCGACGAACCGUGAACUCAACUUGCAAAAUGGCUACUGGACCUGUAAAUAGCAAGUGAAACCAGCCAGGAGGUGUUUUUGUUUGUUUGUUUAAGCAUUGAUUUUUUUUUUCUCGUCUUAUCAAAUCAAGUCCUACUUAGUAAUGUGUAGUCGCCCUUUUUCGAGUGUAAAAGAUCGUCCAUGCGGUACUAGUCAUGGAUGUUGCUAACCUGUCAAGUCGCCGCUACUCCAGCGUUGUAUUCACAGAAAAUACUGCAAACGAAAACUUUCGACCGCCAAAUAAACUCCACUAAUCGCACUUUCAAUUCUCCAACCACAAGUGUGUUGAUGGCGGCUAACUCGUUCGUUUGCAUACCCUCGUGUGGUUUAGCGACUACAACAACGAUUUCAUAUAAAGGUGCCUUUGCAGAAUCCUUUCAAGUAUGUGAUGUUCAUGUGCGUGUCGUCUUUAUAUGUAUUCGGUCGAGAACAUGGACGUGAUUGUGCCUUUUUUUUUUUAAAAAACGGUUUUGAUAAUAAAUGCAUAUAGACGCACACGGAUAAUGUGGUGUUUUAAUUACAUGUCAAUAAAACAGACUGGAAGCGUUAAUGAAAAAGAAUAAGUGUUUUUUGUGGGGAAAUGGAACGUCGCACGAACAAUUAGACCAACAAUACGACAAAAUACAGGACUAAAAGCUAAAUAUUUCAUUGACCCUUCUCAUUUAAGAAAAUGUGCCUGCUCUUCAUGUUAAUUAAAUUAAAAUAUUUACACAAUGACAGCUAACUUUGAAUUACUGAAAAGUAAAGUUUUGGUGCAUGAUAAGAAAUGCCAACACAUCCAAACAAUCAGUAGAUACCAUGCAAAUGUGAGUAGUGUCAGAGCAAUUGAAGAAAGGGUGGGAUGUCAUCAUAUCAGUGUCACAUUAAUGGAUUCUGUGAUAAUGUAAAUAUUGGAAGACAACAAGAUCACAAUAUGGAACUGAAGAAAGAAAAUCGUAUAGAACUUCUAAUCUGCUUUGAAAGAAAAACAAUUCAUAGAAAACAUGGGGUAAAGGUUGCUUUUAUCAGUAGCAAGCAUGUAAUGUAUACAGAGACUAUGGAGAUUCACAACUGUACAUACUUGGUUUUCAUCAGGCAGCAGCAAUAUUGAUUUUUGAUGCUGUUGAUCUGUACUGCAUUAUAAGAGAUGACGAUCCAGAACAUUGCAAUGAGAAUAUUUUGUCCCACCCCUCUUAAGUCCCACGUUCUGUCUGCGAUGCCAUGACAUCGUUGAUUUUCUAUACACGAUGUCGCUUUUGAACUUUCUGCUCAAUUAUCAUUCAAGGUUUGUUUCGUAAUAAUUGAUUAAAAUAAAAGCUCAUUUGUUACAAAACAGCAGAUUUUGUUCUUUGACUUACAAUGUGCAUAAGACAUUUAGGAAUUGUAAUCACACGAUUAGCCGUUGUACCACUGAUGUCCAUCUUGCACGUAUAGUUGUCAGUCCGAAGCUGAGUUACAUGGACCCCACAAUGCCACAUACUGUAUGAAUAAUACAGUGUAAUGUACUUUUAUUUAAAUGAAAAGUAGUUAUUAAAUGCUUGGACUGGUGUCUCAGAAAUGCUGUGAUGAACAGCAAGCAGACUGGCAAAAUAAAACUGAUGGUGUCAGAUGGCAAGAUAAUGAUCCUGAGUAAAAUGGUUUUUGUUUCGCUUUAUGAAAAACGGCAGGAGUUUCUGAAUGUAUCCAGGUCUGGAACCAACUUAAGACAUUAAAUGUAUCCAAAAUUCAUUGGACCAUUUCCAAGUAAUUGAGAAUGCAGCUGCUUGGCUUUUGUCUGGAUCCAGGGCGGAGCUACGUGUUGGCCAGGGGAGGCUGUGGCCACCCUAGACUGAAAGUUGGCCAUCCCACUGUCCCCCCCGACGUGUUUGGCCACCCCACACAACAUUUUCUGGCUGCACCAUUGUCUGUCAGUGGGUUCUAUCAACAAAGCUGUGGCAGAAUUUAAGUCGGGAUAAGAUUGACGCAGAACCUCAUACAUUCUAAAGGAUGGCUGUUCUUUAAAGGACUUCAAGCAUGGGAGAAAUGUGCCCAGUGGAUGGACAACUGGACCUCAGACAAGUAGUACUGUAUGAGAUAAAUGUUGCCCACUCGACAUCCUGGUCAUCCUGAAAGGGGGAUCCCUCCCCUCUGUGCUCCUUUCUU
Long non-coding RNA from Phyllopteryx taeniolatus (common seadragon), 2216 nucleotides. RefSeq lists it as uncharacterized. Lineage: Eukaryota; Metazoa; Chordata; Actinopteri; Syngnathiformes; Syngnathidae. The record is from RefSeq and is a predicted model, not a curated record. The transcript has 3 exons.